RNAcentral lists this ribosomal RNA (419 nucleotides) under bacterium. RNAcentral describes it as "partial 16S ribosomal RNA". It matches the Rfam family "Bacterial small subunit ribosomal RNA", at positions 355 to 776 of the family's 1533-position model. The record is from RNAcentral.
UGGGGGAUAUUGCACAAUGGGCGAAAGCCUGAUGCAGCGACGCCGCGGGGGGGAUGAAGGCCUUCGGGUUGUAAACUUCUUUUGCUCUGAACAAGGCGCACCAUGGGGUGUGUUGAGUGUAGGGGUUGAUUAGCGCCGGCUAACUACGUGCCAGCAGCCGCGGUAAUACGUAGGGCGCGAGCGUUGUCCGGAAUUAUUGGGCGUAAAGGGCUUGUAGGUGGCUGGUUGCGUCUGUCGUGAAAGCUCAUGGCUUAACUGUGGGUUUGCGGUGGGUACGGGCUGGCUUGAGUGCAGUAGGGGAGGCUGGAAUUCCUGGUGUAGCGGUGGAAUGCGCAGAUAUCAGGAGGAAUACCGGUGGCGAAGGCGGGUCUCUGGGCUGUUACUGACACUGAGGAGCGAAAGCAUGGGGAGCGAACAGG